AAUAUCAAAGGUGAAUAUGGGCCCAUUCACCUGCCAUGUAUACCACAUAUAAUGCAUCUAUGGAAUGGUUACAUGCGCAAUUGUUAUUGACCCGCAGCUUGGCCGAUGCUUGCGAGGUAAAUCGCUCAGUAAUCUAACUUCGAGCAUAGUUUCCAGAUUCUCUACUCAAGACAGUUCAUCUUGAUAAGUUGGUUUAUAUUAAANNNNNNNN
This 211-nucleotide long non-coding RNA is filed under the name Nicotiana benthamiana. RNAcentral's name for it is "long non-coding RNA (NBEN_LNC007957)". Lineage: Eukaryota; Viridiplantae; Streptophyta; Magnoliopsida; Solanales; Solanaceae. The record is from RNAcentral.